AUUGAACGCUGGCGGCAGGCCUAACACAUGCAAGUCGAGCGGUAGCACAGAGAGCUUGCUCUCGGGUGACGAGCGGCGGACGGGUGAGUAAUGUCUGAGAAACUGCCUGAUGGAGGGGGAUAACUACUGGAAACGGUAGCUAAUACCGCAUAACGUCGCAAGACCAAAGUGGGGGACCUUCGGGCCUCAUGCCAUCAGAUGUGCCCAGAUGGGAUUAGCUGGUAGGUGGGGUAACGGCUCACCUAGGCGACGAUCCCUAGCUGGUCUGAGAGGAUGACCAGCCACACUGGAACUGAGACACGGUCCAGACUCCUACGGGAGGCAGCAGUGGGGAAUAUUGCACAAUGGGCGCAAGCCUGAUGCAGCCAUGCCGCGUGUGUGAAGAAGGCCUUCGGGUUGUAAAGCACUUUCAGCGGGGAGGAAGGCGGUGAGGUUAAUAACCUCAUCGAUUGACGUUACCCGCAGAAGAAGCACCGGCUAACUCUGUGCCAGCCGCCGCAGUAA
RNAcentral lists this ribosomal RNA (504 nucleotides) under uncultured bacterium. RNAcentral's name for it is "partial 16S ribosomal RNA". It matches the Rfam family "Bacterial small subunit ribosomal RNA", at positions 30 to 523 of the family's 1533-position model. The record is from RNAcentral.